Lotus japonicus is the source of this 1699-nucleotide RNA transcript. RefSeq lists it as uncharacterized. The record is from RefSeq and is a predicted model, not a curated record. Lineage: Eukaryota; Viridiplantae; Streptophyta; Magnoliopsida; Fabales; Fabaceae. The transcript has 4 exons.
AGGAAUAACUGCUAGUGGAAAAACCAGUUGUCCUCAUAAAGGCUGUCUGCCAAACCAAGUGGGUGCAUGUUCCGAGCAGUAAACAAAUUGACAAAACCACUGAGAUAAUUGGAGAAGAGUAGUUUGGUUAUCUGACCAAGGAGGGCCCUUCUCUUGAGGAUGGAGCUAGCCUAUCCCGGUAGGAGGAUGAUCAUGACCCAGAGGAAAACAGGGGAUGGAGCCAAUGACGAUUGGAGCUGUUCUUGGAGCAGAGGUAUCAUCUGCUUCUUGUUGGUUAUGAGCUGCAGAUGGAUGGGGUGGAAGCCCAGAAUGUGAAAGAGAAGAGUCAGAGCUUGAUCUGAUCUGGUCAUUGUAAAGAAGCUGGGUGAGAUGGGGCGGUUGGUUCCAUGCCCAGUUAAGGGGGAAAGUCCCCUUAUGUUGUAGAUUGGCGACACAGUGGGCUGGUUGAUUCCCUUCCCUCCUGACCCAGGAGAGAAUCAACUUCUUGUUGUCAGAUUCAAAGAUAGCUUUUCCCCAGUUCAUAUUAACUGCUGUGACCACUGCAUCACGGAGGAUGAGGGCUUCCGCUAUGGGGGUGAAGGGGCAAAGGCUUUUCUAGUGAGACCCCAGGUUCAGUUGAAGGAACUUUGGAAGGUUCAGAGCACUUGAGUGAAGGAGCUUGUGAUUUCGAAGCUGGAUCAGCUCGAGAUGUCGAUGGCCGAUUGGUUUUCGAUGGUCUCUCCCUCGGGGGGGAUCAGGUAUGAGCUCGUCGAUCGUGCUGCCCCCACCGCUUGGGUGACUGGUCACCGAGCGACGUACAGGGGAAAGGUCAUGGAGGACCGGACGGAUGAGCGAGGACGCCUGACGAGAGGAGUGCUACGGCGUAUGGAGCUGAGUUUUGACUUGCCGCCCUCAGUUCACUAUGGACCAGGCACUGGUCAUGGACCACCUGCACCACAUCCGACUUCACCUUCUGUUGAGGAGGACCCGACAGAGAUUGAGCCUACUGUUGCUGCACCUGUUGCGCCACCUCCUGCUACUGCCAUCGAUCCUACCGACGUGGCGUCGUCCUCUAGGCUUGUGCGGCCGAAGAGGGAGUCCGUCGUCCCAUCUGUCUCACGUCUCUUUUCUUUCUCUUCACCGCACGGCUACCGUGUGGACCCCUUGAUGAGGGUGGUGGAGGAGGAUGUUCUUACAGGAGAGGUGGAUGUGGAGACCGGCUCGACUAGGGCGGUGCGCAGGACAGUUAGGAGGGAGGUCGUUGACUUGGACACCGAGAUGAUUACGGUGGAUUCCGAUUCUGCCUCCGAGAGCAGUGGGGAGAGCUACUCGCCGAGCAGCGACGAGGAGGAGGAGGAGCUAUGAGCUGAGCUGGGAGGGUAGGUUAGGACUAGCGUCAUUUUUUGUGUAGGGCUCUGAUCGUUAGUCUUUUUGGGACAGGGUAGGUUCCGAUGUGUGGCUUUUUGUGUGGUUUUUUUGAGGAGGAUCACAGAGAGUCUGUCGGAGUAUAGGGGUCUUUCUUUCAGGCCAUUUUUGGGUGCCGACUUUCUCUGGAUAACUGUAUAUUUGAUACUUUUACUUAUAGUGCUGGGUUGUAUAUUUUUGCCUGCGGGCAUACUACUUGGAGUCACUGCGAGUGCGCGUGACAUGGAGUGCAGCUGAGGCUGUACAUGUGUAUAUAUUGUAUAUCGGUUAGUUUAGUUGUUGGGUUUUGUCUUUA